This 228-nucleotide ribosomal RNA is filed under the name uncultured Lactobacillus sp. RNAcentral describes it as "partial 16S ribosomal RNA". It matches the Rfam family "Bacterial small subunit ribosomal RNA", at positions 134 to 354 of the family's 1533-position model. Lineage: Bacteria; Bacillati; Bacillota; Bacilli; Lactobacillales; Lactobacillaceae. The record is from RNAcentral.
GAGAUCGGGAUAACACCUGGAAACAGAUGCUAAUACCGGAUAACAACAGAUGAUGCCUAUCAACUGUUUAAAAGAUGGUUCUGCUAUCACUCUUGGAUGGACCUGCGGUGCAUUAGCUAGUUGGUAGGGUAACGGCCUACCAAGGCGAUGAUGCAUAGCCGAGUUGAGAGACUGAUCGGCCACAUUGGGACUGAGACACGGCCCAAACUCCUACGGGAGGCAGCAGNU